CAAAAGAAAAGAAAAAGAAAACAAAUUGAAUAGAUGGACCAGCAAAGACUGAAAUACAAUUGAAAUUACAUCAGUUUCCCCUAGAAGCAAACUAUGAAGCACUUCAUAAUCCAUCAACUAAGCAGGCGGAGAAACUUGUGUGGUGGAGAAACUUGUGUUCCUGAAGUGUGAGGUUGGCCCAGCUGGGCGGGGCUUAGUGUAACAGCUCCGUUCUCCACUAGAUGGCACUUCUAGCCUACUGCGGUCGAUUGUUGUGUCGCAUCACCAGUGAAUGUGGUUGUUCUCCGGGGUCUGCUGGAACCUUUGCCUGUGGGGUGUCUGCAUAGCCUCUACCAGAUGUCCUCCCAGCAAGGGAACUGCCUCUUCUCUGUGGCCCAAGGACCUCCCGACCUCACUCUGCUCCUGGGGAUUCGCCCUUCCUACCAGAACACCAUCAGAUUCUUACUGAUGUCCUCCACUAUUUUCUCAAGCCAGGUGAGUAUUUAUGAUCAUUACUUUAAAGUCUCUGUCAGGCAUACUAUUUAUCUCCAUUUCCCUUAGUGUCUUGCUGUAAUUUUGUCCCAUUCUUUCACUGGGGACAUAUUCCUCUGUGUCCUCAUUUUCUUUAAUGCCGUGUCUGUUCCUGUACGUUAGGAAAUCCAGUUAUGCCUCCUGCUCUUGAAAGCAGUGCCCUUAUGAAGAAGAGAUUCUGUAGUGCUCUGCGUUGAAGUGUCCUUUGUUCAGUGGAGUCUGACACUUUGUGGGUGUCUCCUAUGUGUGUUGUGUGCCCCCGUACUAUUGUGGCUUAGCUGCUUUUUCUUUCAGUACAGUCGUCAGCAGUUCUCUUUGCUUGUUCUGGGCAGUGUCUGGUCCCUGUAGUGUUAGUGGGCCAAUUUGGGGCUGCCUUGGACUUGAGUUGAGUCAGACGGGCAUUUGUCAGAUAAUGCAGUAGCACCAAAUUGCCAACGUGCUUUCCCUGUGUUGUAACCUGAGAAGUUUUCAUUGGAGGGCACAGAAUGAAGUCAGACCAACUGUCUACCCUGUGUCCUUUGCCAUGAUCAAAGUCUAACUAGUGUGUGUGGUUAUCUUUCUCUCUCCCCAGGGCAGGAAUCACUUUGGAGUGGUGCCAGCCUCUGUUGGGGCUGUUUAUACACUGCCAGGUAUAGUAUGACUUUGGGAUGUCUCCAGCCAAGAGUGUAUUGGAGGAGGUAGAUAGUAACAUUGUGGAGGGGUGUGGCAUGCCGUGUUAGCAGGGUUUGUGAUCCAGUCCUCUGUGAGAGGGGAGCUCAGUGCAGGGACUGUGGCAGGCCUGGGUUUAGUGGGAAGAUCUGCCAAAGCGUGAGGAGGUGUAUCUAGCAGGACACUUGGUGUUAUCAAUUUUGGUAACAAGUGUCAGCACCACACUGGUUUCUACAGGUAGUUGCGUGUUUAUGUUGGGGUGUGGGGGUGAGAAAUGGCACCUGCCAGCUCCUUUGUUCCUGGAGGAGUCUCCCAAUGAUCUUUGUCCCCCUAGGAUAUGCUCUGCGUUUAGUAAGCUACUCUCCCUUCCAUAUGUCCCAGGCAUUUUUCAAACUUCUGCUUCUUAGCUGUACUCUGGGGGGUGCUUCUUGUGCUGUCUCCUUAGGGGCAGGGAUUCAAUUUCCUCUUGUUCUCUCAGCUCUCCUAGAGCUGAGACCACUGAUUUUUUAAAUUACGGUUUUAAGUCCCACUGGUUGUUAAAAGUCAUGAAAUUUGGCCAUUCUGGUUUUCAAAGCCAAAUUUUAUGGAGAGUCAUCUUCCCCGUGUGGGUUCCCUGGUGUGACAGUCUGUUUCCCUUCCCUGACUGCACCUGUGUGUGCCUCUUUCCUGCAGAUAGUCCCACUGGUCUGUUUAACUCCCCCCUGGGUCUCUGCCCUUCCUACACUCAGUGUUGCCUCUUCUUUACAUUUAGUUGUGGAGUUUGUUCUGCCAGUCUUCAGGUCGUUUUCUGGGUUAUUUACACCUGUGUUAUCUAGUUGUAUCUGUGGGAUGAGGGUUGUAUCUUAGGGUCUUUCUAUUUCACCAUCUUCCCAGUUGAACUAGUCCCGUUCAUUGUUGAAAGUGUGUCACUGAAGUCUCCAACUAUUAUUGUUUGCACGUAUUCUCCCUUUCUUUCUUUUCUUUUUUUCUUUAUAUAUUUUAAUAUUCUGUUAUUGGGUAUAUGUAUGUUUAUAUUUUAAAAUUAUCUUCCUGACAAAUUGACCCAAUUAUAAUUAUAAUAUUUUCUUCUUAAUAAUUUUUGUUUUGUUUUGUUUUAAGGUCUAUUUUAUAUUUACAUUUGUAUUCCAGAUUUCCUGUGGUUGCCUAAUAUGUCUUUUUCAUCCUUUCUACUUUCACUCUAUUUGUGUCUUUGUAUCUAAAAUGUUUUUCCUUCAACAACAUAUAGUUGGCUCAUGUUUAUUUAUCCUAUUUUAUUUAGCUUUUAAAUUUUUAUUUAAAUUCUAGACAGUUAACAUAGAGUGCAAUAUUGGUUUCAGGAGUAGAAUUCAGUGAUUGGUCUCUUACAUACAGUACCCAGUGCUCAUCACAACAGUUGCCUUCCUUAUACCUGUCACCUGUCAUCUAGUCUAUCCCACACCCUCCUGCUUCCAUCUACCCUCAGUUUGUUCUCUAUCAUUAAGAGUCUCAUAUGGUUUGUUUCCCUGUCUCUCUUUUCUUUUUCCUUUCUUCCCAACCUUGCCUUAUGUUUAUCUGCUUUUUUCUUAAAUUCCACAUAUGAGAGACAUCAUAUGGUAUUUGUCUUUCUCUGACUGACUUAUUUUGCUUAGCAUAAUACACUGUAACUCCAUCCACAUCAUUGCA
This is a long non-coding RNA of Felis catus (domestic cat), 2799 nucleotides long. RefSeq lists it as uncharacterized. Lineage: Eukaryota; Metazoa; Chordata; Mammalia; Carnivora; Felidae. The transcript is spliced from 3 exons. The record is from RefSeq and is a predicted model, not a curated record.